UACUAUUGGUAUAAACAAAAAUAUCAUCGCAACAAUAGUAUUGUUUACCAUCGACGAUUUUUUUUAUUCGUGUAGGCAAGUUUCUAACUAAAAAUGUCACAAACUUCUAGCCAUUUCAGCGCUCUUGAGAGGCAGCGACUCCGUGAAAUCGAGGAGGAAAAACAAAACAUUAAACAAUUAAGGAGAGAAGUCGCCAUUCGAAGGAUCAAAGUUUCAAAGGCCGUUGAAGACUUAAAGAAAUAUACUGAAGCCCAUGAACAAAAAGAUUACCUGUGGAAAGGAUUCAAAUCGAUUAGAGAAAAUCCAUUUCGAGAGAGACCUAGAUAUGACAUUUGUGGCUGUCUCUUAUCCAUGUUGCCUUUUUUCGGGUAUAAUGAUCUCUAGUAAAGCAUUUUUUGUAACUAUUUUGAUUACCACACUAUUACAAUGAGUAUCAAUGUAUGAUAUCCGUAAACAAUUCGUCCAGAUUGUAUUUGAUUUUAUUCCAAUUAUAAUUUUAUUCAAAGUAUCAAA
Non-coding RNA from Tetranychus urticae (two-spotted spider mite), 513 nucleotides. NCBI's taxonomy places the organism in Eukaryota, Metazoa, Arthropoda, Arachnida, Trombidiformes, Tetranychidae. The record is from RefSeq and is a predicted model, not a curated record.